This 340-nucleotide RNase P RNA is filed under the name chicken gut metagenome. RNAcentral describes it as "Bacterial RNase P class A". It matches the Rfam family "Bacterial RNase P class A". From Rfam's summary of the family: Ribonuclease P (RNase P) is a ubiquitous endoribonuclease, found in archaea, bacteria and eukarya as well as chloroplasts and mitochondria. The record is from RNAcentral.
AUAAUCGCGCUUGAAAAAUUUCAAGUGAGGAAAGUCCGUGCAUUCAAGGACAAACAGCCGGGGAAAGCCCGGACGGUGUGAACCGGUGGAUAAGUGCUACAGGAAAUAUACUGCUAACGGCUUUAAUAAAAAAGGUACGAGCGAUGGUGCAACGGUGAGUUAAGAGCUUCACCAGCAAUACUGAGAAGUAUUGGCUAAGUAAACCCCUGUUGAAUGCAAGGUUAAAUUGAGGGUUAUAAAGGCUGUCCGCCAACUUCAGAAAAACCGCUAGAGAUUGAAAGUAAUUUCAAUACCAGACAGAUGAUUAUUUAGAAACAGAACACGGCUUAUGAGUUGCUUU